CCAGGCUUGGGGGUAUAGUGGACAGAAUGUGCCCAAACGGAUAGGCCAAGGGUUCCUGACCCAAUCCAUGGCCUGAGAUGUGUUAGGCGGGUGUAGCAUAAGAUUAGGGGUGGAAAUCCCAAUCCAUUCGUUCAGCACAGUGGACCUUAAAGCGUAAUAUGAAAUGGAUUUAAAAAACCAUAGGAACUCUCUAAUCAGAUGCGACCGAAUCAAUCGUUUUGAUUAACUCUCCGCCUCGGCAUCACGGCUGCAGAUUUGGAAUGUCGGAGUUGCAUCGUGAUUCGGCCUCAAUCAUCAUCGUGUUCAAGCUUCAACAUCAUCUCGCAGUCUCAAAUCCGCAUCAAUAACUCAGCUCGAGAUUCAUCAUUUCCGCGCGUACAAACGGAGAGAACGGAAUUGAAAUUAAAGCGAGGAACUCACCGGUUCGACGUGGCGUUAGUUGGUUUUGCUUUCUGUUUGUGUUAGUUUGCAGUGCAUAGCAUGUUUGUGGGACUAUUAAUGAUUGGUGAUGAAGUGAAAGCUUUCAAGAUUUGUGAAGGAUAGAUUGGAUUGCUAUGGACUUUGGUCAUGUUGUAACUUUUGUCGAUUGAAUGUAUUAGAAAUUUACUUUGUAUGUAUAUGGUUGAAAUAGUUUAAUAUAUAUUUGGAAUUGAAUGAUGGGGUUUAUGUAAAUGUCUGGAAGGGAUUUGAAGAUCAACUUGAAAUGGUUUUAUGGAAUUUCAAAUUGAAAUGCUUGAAUGUAAAUUUGUAAAUACUAUGAAUGUACAUUUGUAAUUUUGGCAAUGAAUUUAAAUGUUAAAUUUGGAUA
Long non-coding RNA from Lathyrus oleraceus (garden pea), 808 nucleotides. RefSeq lists it as uncharacterized. Lineage: Eukaryota; Viridiplantae; Streptophyta; Magnoliopsida; Fabales; Fabaceae. The record is from RefSeq and is a predicted model, not a curated record. The transcript has 2 exons.